AGAGUUUGAUCCUGGCUCAGAUUAACGCUGCGGCAUCCUUACACAUGCAAGUCGAACGGCAGCGCGUCCUUCGGGAUGGCGGCGAGUGGCGAACGGGUGAGUAGAGCAUCGGAACGUGCCCGGUAGUGCGGGAUAGCUCGGCGAAAGCCGGAUUAAUACCGCAUGAGAUCCGAGGAUGAAAGCAGGGGACCGCAAGGGCCUUGCGCUACUGGAGUGGCCGAUGUCAGAUUAGGUAGUUGGUGGGGUAAAGGCUCACCAAGCCUGCGAUCUGUAGCUGGUCUGAGAGGAUGAUCAGCCACAUCGGGACUGAGACACGGCCCGAACUCCUACGGGAGGCAGCAGUGGGGAAUUUUGGACAAUGGGCGCAAGCCUGAUCCAGCCAUGCCGCGUGCAGGAUGAAGGCCCUCGGGUUGUAAACUGCUUUUGUACGGAACGAAAAGCCUCCUUCUAAAUAAGGGGGGUGAUGACGGUACCGUAAGAAUAAGCACCGGCUAACUACGUGCCAGCAGCCGCGGUAAUAC
Molecule: ribosomal RNA, 521 nt
Filed under: uncultured bacterium
Lineage: Bacteria
Description: bacterial SSU rRNA
Rfam family: Bacterial small subunit ribosomal RNA
Source: RNAcentral